AGUGAACGCUGGCGGCGUGCUUAACACAUGCAAGUCGAACGAGAACGGAUUAUAGCUUGCUAUAAUUGUCAGCUAAGUGGCGCACGGGUGAGUAAUGUAGGUAAUAUGCCUCUUACUAAGGGAUAACAAAUGGAAACGUUUGCUAAUACCUUAUACUCCUUAUUAACAGAAGUUAAUAAGGGAAAGAUUUAUUGGUAAGAGAUUAGCCUGUAUUGUAUCAGUUAGUUGGUGGGGUAAUGGCUUACCAAGACUAUGACACAUAACUGGUUUGAGAGGAUGAUCAGUCACACUGGAACUGAGACACGGUCCAGACUCCUACGGGAGGCAGCAGUGGGGAAUAUUGCACAAUGGACGAAAGUCUGAUGCAGCAACGCCGCGUGGAGGAUGACACAUUUCGGUGCGUAAACUCCUUUUAUAUGAGAAGAUAAUGACGGUAUUAUAUGAAUAAGCACCGGCUAACUCCGUGCCAGCCGCCGCCGUAA
RNAcentral lists this ribosomal RNA (482 nucleotides) under uncultured bacterium. RNAcentral's name for it is "partial 16S ribosomal RNA". It matches the Rfam family "Bacterial small subunit ribosomal RNA", at positions 29 to 523 of the family's 1533-position model. The record is from RNAcentral.